This 417-nucleotide ribosomal RNA is filed under the name uncultured bacterium. Its description in RNAcentral is "partial 16S ribosomal RNA". It matches the Rfam family "Bacterial small subunit ribosomal RNA", at positions 360 to 774 of the family's 1533-position model. The record is from RNAcentral.
AAUAUUGGACAAUGGGUGAGAGCCUGAUCCAGCCAUCCCGCGUGCAGGAAGAAUGCCUUAUGGGUUGAAAACUGCUUUUAUCCAGGAAUAAACCACUUUACGUGUAAGGUGUUGAAGGUACUGUAUGAAUAAGCAUCGGCUAACUCCUUGUCAGCAGCCGCGGUAAUACGGAGGUUGCAAGCGUUAUCCGGAUUUAUUGGGUUUAAAGGGUCCCGUAGGCGGCAUAUAAGGCAAAUGUGAAAACCCGCCGCUUAACCUUCGAACUGCCUUUGAAACUGGAUUGCUUGAAUGCGAUUGAAGGAGCCGGAAUUUGUAGUGUAGCGGAGAAAUGCCUGGAUAAUACCAAGAACACCGAAAGCGUAGGCAGGUUGCUAAGUCUUUACUGACGCUGAUGGGCGAAAGCGUGGGGAGCAAACA